This 162-nucleotide unclassified non-coding RNA is filed under the name uncultured Eurotiomycetes. RNAcentral's name for it is "sequence contains ITS2". The record is from RNAcentral. Lineage: Eukaryota; Fungi; Ascomycota; Eurotiomycetes.
CAUUUCUUCAAGCCCGGCUUGUGUGUUGAGCAUCUGUUCUCUUGAUGGACAUGCUUGAAAUGCAGUGGCAAUGCUGCAUCCGGUAGCCCAAGCAUUAUAGGCCCAAUCUGCUUUGUUGGCUCCAGUCAGCAUUUUAGCCUCCAAACCCUUGACCUUAGCUAA